UGAGUUUUCUUGUAAUUCGCUGAGUUUCUUCAUGACAGCUGUUUUGAAUACUCUGUCAGCUAGAUAGCAGUCUUCUGUGACUUCAAGUUUAGUUUCUGGAGAGUUGUCAUUUUUCUUUCUGUUCUUCCGUGUUACUGUAGUUCUUCAUGGUACUUGAUGAGUUGAUCCUCUGCCAGUAUAUUUGUGACAGUAACCACCUUUCUUAUUUAGGUCAGGCUUUGGUUACUUUGGUUCUGAGCUGCUUCUGGUUGAGAGCCCCCACUUUCCACCCCCACUUGAGAGCCCCCACUUUCCACCUUCCACCGCCUCUGCUAGAGGCGUCGUCAGUGCCCUCCUUGUGCUGCUUGUGGCUUUGAGGUUGCUGGUGCCUUGCUGCUUAUGAUGUCACUGCAGUCUCAGAUGUCACCACUGGGAUCACCAGGCUAUGAGCACUUCUGCUGCUUCCAGGGUGGCUUGAGUAUCAUGUUCCUCCACCGGCUCUCUGUGGUCUCUCUACGGCUCAGCUGCUUACCACACUUCAACUGCCAACAGAUUCUUCUUGGACCCACUGGUUCUGCUGCAUGGGGCUGGCCAGCAACCCUUCCGUUAGCUGCGACCAACCAACUUCAUGCCCAGUAUUUCUGGCUUCUCCUGUCACUUCUGGUAUCUUGCACGGCCUCAGGAGGGGCUGGAUGAUGCAAUGAGUGUUUGCAGAGGAGUAAACUCCUCAUGAGAUGAAUUUUGACCAAUUGGAAACAGAAGAUGGGAGGAAGCCAGGAGGAUAGGAUAAACUCCCCCUCCUUCCUCUCCUGCUCUGAGAUAUAGUUUCUCUGUAUGGCCUGUCCCAGAAACAUGACAUCUCAUGUUGAGUGACCUGCUGUGUCACUUCAGGACUCAUUAGGAAACAAUGCCCAGCAAAGUAACCUCUCACCUUGCAUUGCUCCCAUCCUCUGCUAUAUGUAGGAGGCUUGGGGGACUUUGAGGCUGAUCCUGGAACAAGACAUGACCACAAGGUGGCAGUAUCACACACAGCUUUGUUUGGGAUGCUUGAUAGGUUUGAUGUUAUAUACAAAUUUCAAAUCCCAGGUGCACGUGAAAGGGGAGAAGGUUUUGGGUGAUGAAGUUCCUUCAGGCACUUCAAAUCAUGCCAUUUGAUAAAAGCAAGUGCGCGGUCCCACAACUCUUACCUAGGAGGAUCGGGCAGGACACCAUCAGCUCUUGUCAGGAAUCCCACUUAGGUUUGUUUGUGGCUUAAGACAAGUCCUACUCACACUUCACCUCUGAAAAAGGCAAUAUUGAGACUCCCGUGUGGGUUCCAAGUGGGACUGGAGUUUCUGACUCCUGUCUGAUCCACUGUCUCCACCCAUCCAACAUAAACGGAUGAAGAACUUAAUGUGGCCCUGUUUAAAAUUUUUGCAAAGAAAACGUGCACUAUCCUUUUGACCUUCACUAGGGAAAGCAUUUUUAAACAAAGAACAGAAAUGCUCAUCAUGAAAUAAAAGAAUGAUAAAUUUAAUUAUGUUAACAGUAAGAAUUUCUACUCAUGAAAAGGCAUUAUAAAAAUGAGAGAAAAUCACAAACUGAGAGAAGAUAUUUGGAACACACAUAAUUAAUAAAACAUUGCUAUCAAAAUAUAUUUAAAUUUUCUGCAAAACAGUAAGAAAAGUAGUAAAUAGAAAAAUGAGCAAAAGACAUGGACAUUUUACUGUAAAGGGAAAAACAAAUGGCCAAUAAAUAUAUGAAGACAUAUUCCAUUUCAUUAUUGAUCAGAUUAGCAAAAUUAAGGAAGUUUUUAAUAUUAAAUGGUAGAAAGAAUGUGAGCCAAGAACUUGUACUCAUUGCUGGUGGGAACAUUAUCUGGGACAAUUGCUUUAGAAAACAAGAUUCAUGUUUUCUUGUAAGUUGAACAUUUGCAGAUCCUGUUGAUGAGGAUUAUUUUGGGCUGGUUACUUUUGAAAACUGCAGACAGGAGAGACUCGGAAAGGUAGAGUUUGCUUGCCCUUUCUUAAGAGACAUUUGCAUUUGUAAAGGAAAUCUCCAUCUGCAAAGGUGCCUUCCUCUGUGCACCAGGAAGAAAGGGGGAUGACCUUAUCUCUAGAAACUCUUAAUGGGGAAGCAUAGGACAUCCUGACUUAGUCCGCUCUGAUUCUUAUCUAAGUUAUAGGACCACCCAAUAACCAGACCCCACCUGCACUGAGACCAUUUUAACGAUUUUUUCAUGAUUUUUCCUUUGUCUUGUAAAGAAACAACUCACAUACCUAUGCCUUAUAAAUUUAGCUCUAACCCUUAACACAUUGCACCUCUUAUGGCCCAUGGGUCCUUUUCCCAUGCUAUUCCAUACCAUUCUCUGAAUAAAAGAGCACUACUGCCAGACCUUGAAAGUCCAAGAAAUCUUUCUUUCGACUCCUCAACUCACUGAGCCCACAUCACUGUGAUCAGAAGCCAUCCUAUCGCCACACAUACUCAAGAAAAAUCUGUUGACAUGUGCACCAGGAGACACGUACAAUAAUGUUCAUAGCAGCACUAUUCAUAAUAUGAAAAAAGUGGAAGCAAUCCAAAUUCCCAUUGACAAAAGAAUAGACUAUAGAUUGACCUCAAGAGAG
This 2582-nucleotide long non-coding RNA is filed under the name Equus caballus (horse). Its description in RNAcentral is "lncRNA (ENSECAG00000055146.1)". Lineage: Eukaryota; Metazoa; Chordata; Mammalia; Perissodactyla; Equidae. The record is from RNAcentral.